AAUCAAUAAUCCUCAAAGCCCACCAAAUGGUGCUCAAAUUCCAUGCCUUAAAGCAACAAAAAAUUAUUCCUUAUGUGUACUACUAGCUCAUGUAAUCACUCAAAGACCCAGACUGAGGGAGGCUCCACCAUUUUGAAGCCUCACAAUGUGGGAACGUGGCCCUUGGUUGCCAUGGCAGUGAAGAGAAUGCUGGAGCAGUUAUAUUCUGGAAAUGAUAUACAUCACUUCUGCUUACAGCACAUUGGCCAAAACUUGUCACAUGGUCCUGCCUAAUGGCACACUGGCGAGCUGGUACUCCUCCCUACACCUUGACGAAGAGGUGAACCAAAAUGGCUGACUAAUCAAAGUUACUAUGUCAGAGGCAGACUUUGAGCUCUUCACCACCAUCUGAUACUAUUGCCCUUGAGAAGAAUGAUCUCCUGCUGGAUGAGAGGAUCACAGUGGCUGUGUGGAGCUUCAUUAUUCAUUCUCCUCCAUCCAUCUUAAUCCUACCAUGCCUGUCACUGGAUCCCAAAGAGGCACAAUUAGGACCUCUCCUCAGGAGUCCUUCUGGCCUCUGCCCAGCUCCUAUGCUGUUCAAGACCCAUACUUGAUGCCCAGUGGCCCACGUUUUUUAACCUUUGGGAUUCAUGUGAUCAGCACCCACACAGCUGGGAAUCACUGAGUCACAGGCUGAGUAGCUGCUUGCAUCUUUUCUGCCUGGAAACAAGAUUUGUAGGGCAGAGUGGAUCUGCCUCCCACCCUUCUGGCAGGCCCCUGUGGCUCUCGGCAUUCCUGCUGCAAAGCCUUGUGAAGCACGUCUUUAACUUCUCAGAGAAGUGUUUAACAAACGUCACCAUCCAGAGCUGACAGGCACAGUGGUCUUAGACCUGGAAGCCUCAGAUAUGAACAUCUUGGCAGGAAUCUCCAUCACGUUUCUGGAUAUGGGUUUGGAAUGUGUUCACCGACCUGCCCUUUACAAGUCAUUGAUUUUUGGGUUUGUUUACUUUUUCAACUCAUUCUCCAGGCAAGACGCAGUUUCUUCCUCCAGGAAAGUGUUGCAUGAGAAGCAAGGUCCGAGGUCAGAGGACAUCAGUCUUUGGUCUAAUUUCAGGCCAGUCUCCUAUGUGUAAGAUUUGCAUGAAGAGUGGAAAAGAUGCAAGGACACUUCCUUGGAUUCAGCCUUCCCAGGCCAACUUGCCAAAUUAAUGAGGAAUAAAGCUUCCGUCUACUCAACAGCUACCACCCUCUUCCCAUGGAUCAGGACUGAAAUGUGGUUACAAAUGAUUUUCCUUUACCUACGCUUAGGAUUGCAUGGACUCUCCUGGAUUGUAAUUAGCCAGUUCACAUCACUGAAGUCUGAUCAUAAAAUCCUUCAAAUUAAAAUUAUUCCCCUAACCUUGCCCUACAAAGUCUUACUGAUCUGGUCCUUCCUAAUCCUCUAGACUCCUUCUGGCCUGUCAAACACACCAAGCCUGUGCACUAUUGUUUCUUCUACUUGGAACGCUCCUUCCCUUCCCUCUAAUCUUCACAUGGCACCUUCUUACAGAGGUUCUUUCCUUGUCCCCUGCAGCCUUGCCAAGGUACCUCCCCAAUCACCCAAUUUUCUCUUUUCUAGAGUACUCAUUGUAUUAUUCUUAUUUUCAUUAUUUCCUGUCUUCUCCAUUGGAAUGCUAACUUUUCGAGGGAGAGGCUCUGUCUGUCUUUUGUCCUGUGCCCCAGGACCCAGCCCAGGGUAGCACUUAAUCAAUAUUCACUGACUGACUGUCUAAUGGUCAUUAUUUCUAAUAACUUUGACUUAUUAGCCUCAAGAAGUACUCCCACAUAGCAGGGCAACAGGCAGCACUGAAAAAUAAAACACAUUUAAUAAUAUACCAAAAAUAU
Molecule: long non-coding RNA, 1863 nt
Organism: Equus asinus (donkey)
Lineage: Eukaryota; Metazoa; Chordata; Mammalia; Perissodactyla; Equidae
Source: Ensembl